CAGUCGCCGCGGUAAUACGAAGGGGGCAAGCAUUGUUCGGAAUUACUGGGCGUAAAGGGCGCGUAGGCGGUGUACUAAGUUAGGCGUAAAAGCCCUGGGCUCAACCGGGGAGGGUCAUUGGAAACUGGGAAACUUGAGUGCAGAAGAGGAGAGUGGAAUUCCACGUGUAGCGGUGAAAUGCGUAGAGAUGUGGAGGAACACCAGUGGCGAAGGCGACUCUCUGGUCUGUAACUGACGCUGAGGAGCGAAAGCGUGGGGAGCGAACAGGAUUAGAUACCCCAGUAGUCCUGUCUCUUAUACA
This 301-nucleotide ribosomal RNA is filed under the name uncultured bacterium. Its description in RNAcentral is "partial 16S ribosomal RNA". It matches the Rfam family "Bacterial small subunit ribosomal RNA", at positions 509 to 809 of the family's 1533-position model. The record is from RNAcentral.